Non-coding RNA from Danionella cerebrum, 71 nucleotides. Lineage: Eukaryota; Metazoa; Chordata; Actinopteri; Cypriniformes; Danionidae. The record is from the annotation of a GenBank genome assembly.
GGCUCUUUGGUCUAGGGAUAUGAUUCUCGCUGGGGGGUGAGAGGUCCCAGGCUCAAAUCCCAGACGAGCCC